This 373-nucleotide ribosomal RNA is filed under the name uncultured bacterium. RNAcentral's name for it is "bacterial SSU rRNA". It matches the Rfam family "Bacterial small subunit ribosomal RNA", at positions 335 to 695 of the family's 1533-position model. The record is from RNAcentral.
ACUCCUACGGGAGGCAGCAGUGGGGAAUAUUGCACAAUGGGGGAAACCCUGAUGCAGCCAUGCCGCGUGUGUGAAGAAGGCCUUCGGGUUGUAAAGCACUUUCAGUAGGGAGGAAGGUAGUGUAGUUAACACCUGCAUUAUUUGUACGUUACCUACAGAAGAAGCACCGGCUAACUCCGUGCCAGCAGCCGCGGUAAGUACGGAGGGUGCGAGCGUUAAUCGGAAUUACGUGGGCGUAAAGCGCAUGCAGGCGGCCUGUUAAGUCAGAUGUGAAAGCCCGGGGUCUUAACCGUCGGAAUUGCAUUUGAAACUGGCAGGCUAGAGUCUUGGUAGAGGGGUUAGAAUUUCAGGUGUAGCGGUGAAAUGCGUAGAG